GAUGAAUGCUGGCGGCGUGCCUAAUACAUGCAAGUCGAGCGGUAAGGCCCUUCGGGGUACACGAGCGGUGGACGGCUGAGUAACGCGUGGGAACAUGCCCCAAAGUGAGGGAUAACGCACCGAAAGGUGUGCUAAUACCGCAUAUGGUCUUCGGAUUAAAGGAUUUAUCCGCUUUGGGAGUGGCCCGCGUACGAUUAGAUUGUUGGUGAGGUAACGGCUCACCAAGUCGACGAUCGUUAACUGGUCUGAGAGGAUGAUCAGUCAGACUGGAACUGAGACACGGUCCAGACUCCUACGGGAGGCAGCAGUAAGGAAUCUUCCACAAUGGGCGAAAGCCUGAUGGAGCAACGCCGCGUGCAGGAUGAAGGCCCUCGGGUCGUAAACUGCUUUAUGAGUGAAGAAUAUGACGGUAACUCAUGAAUAAGCACCGGCUAACUACGUGCCAGCAGCCGCGGUAAU
RNAcentral lists this ribosomal RNA (459 nucleotides) under uncultured bacterium. RNAcentral's name for it is "bacterial SSU rRNA". It matches the Rfam family "Bacterial small subunit ribosomal RNA", at positions 28 to 524 of the family's 1533-position model. The record is from RNAcentral.